This 388-nucleotide long non-coding RNA is filed under the name Actinidia chinensis (golden kiwifruit). RNAcentral describes it as "long non-coding RNA (ACHI_LNC003763)". Lineage: Eukaryota; Viridiplantae; Streptophyta; Magnoliopsida; Ericales; Actinidiaceae. The record is from RNAcentral.
UGGUAGUAUUGGUGUUUGAAGUUGACUGUUUUGAUCAAAUCAUGUAUCCGUGUACUUUACUUUUUGAACUGGAAUAGCACAACAGGCUGGUGGCUGUGUCUUGCAAAAAGGGAUGAUUGUCUAAAUAUGGGAAGAUAAGAAUGUUUCAGGUGGCUAGUACGAGUUACGGGUAUUGCCAUGUGAAAAAGGGGUUGGUUUGUUGAAUUUAGAUUCGGUGAGUAUUGGACUGGGAGCAGGCAUUCGUCAUCCUCAGGAAAUCAUUUCUUCAAUAUUGGAGAAUGAGCUCAGUAACUGAAAUUAAAAGCUCUCCCAACAAAGCUGCUGAAACAUUUUGCAAAUCCAAGGAGUAAUGAACUUUUUCUCCCUCGUGCUUCUUCUAGAUAUGCAU